Non-coding RNA from Vicia faba (fava bean), 291 nucleotides. NCBI's taxonomy places the organism in Eukaryota, Viridiplantae, Streptophyta, Magnoliopsida, Fabales, Fabaceae. The record is from the annotation of a GenBank genome assembly.
AUGGUGUGCGAGAAAUGUCAGAAGAAGUUAUCGAAGGUGAUAGUACCCGACAAAUGGAAAGAAGGAGCCAGCAAUACUACUGAGAAUGGUGGCCGCAAAAUCAACGAGAAUAAACUCCUAUCCAAGAAGAACAGAUGGACCCCUUAUGGAACUACUAAGUGCAUCAUUUGCAAGCAACAAAUGCACCAGGAUGGCAAGUACUGUCACACCUGUGCCUACUCAAAAGGAGUUUGUGCGAUGUGUGGCAAACAAGUUCUUGACACCAAGUUUUACAAGCAAAGCAAUGUGUAG